UACGGAGGGUGCAAGCGUUGUCCGGAAUCACUGGGCGUAAAGGGCGCGUAGGCGGCUCAUGAAGGCUGUGGUGAAAGCCCCAGGCUCAACCUGGGAGGUGCACCCGAUACUGCAUGGCUCGAGUACUGGAGAGGUUGGUGGAAUUCUCGGUGUAGAGGUGAAAUUCGUAGAUAUCGAGAGGAACACCGGUGGCGAAGGCGGCCAACUGGACAGAUACUGACGCUGAGACACGAAAGCGUGGGGAGCAAACAGG
This 253-nucleotide ribosomal RNA is filed under the name uncultured bacterium. Its description in RNAcentral is "partial 16S ribosomal RNA". It matches the Rfam family "Bacterial small subunit ribosomal RNA", at positions 524 to 776 of the family's 1533-position model. The record is from RNAcentral.